GACGAACGCUGGCGGCGUGCCUAAUACAUGCAAGUUGAGCGCUGAAGGUUGGUACUUGUACCAACUGGAUGAGCAGCGAACGGGUGAGUAACGCGUGGGGAAUCUGCCUUUGAGCGGGGGACAACAUUUGGAAACGAAUGCUAAUACCGCAUAAAAACUUUAAACACAAGUUUUAAGUUUGAAAGAUGCAAUUGCAUCACUCAAAGAUGAUCCCGCGUUGUAUUAGCUAGUUGGUGAGGUAAAGGCUCACCAAGGCGAUGAUACAUAGCCGACCUGAGAGGGUGAUCGGCCACAUUGGGACUGAGACACGGCCCAAACACCUACGGGAGGCAGCAGUAGGGAAUCUUCGGCAAUAGACGAAAGUCUGACCGAGCAACGCCGCGUGAGUGAAGAAGGUUUUCGGAUCGUAAAACUCUGUUGGUAGAGAAGAACGUUGGUGAGAGUGGAAAGCUCAUCAAGUGACGGUAACUACCCAGAAAGGGACGGCUAACUACGUG
Molecule: ribosomal RNA, 497 nt
Filed under: uncultured bacterium
Lineage: Bacteria
Description: partial 16S ribosomal RNA
Rfam family: Bacterial small subunit ribosomal RNA
Source: RNAcentral